AUGCCUGAAGAUUGUAAUGAAUUCAUGCAACAUGUAAUGCCACUAGCAUGCAGCAGAGGGCAAAAGAGCUUGAGCUUCACUGAAAAGCUUGAUUCCAACACCCCUGCAGCCAGUCUAGCUCUGUCAAUGAAUCCUCUACACAUCUACACCUGCAGCUCUGCUGGAGCCGCCACAAGCCCUGGGGAUGAGGAAACUCAUGGAUGCAGAAUUCUGAGGACAUUGAGAGAAGAGCCAGAUUUCAAGUUGUUUGAACACGGAACAGAGAUAAUUGAAGAAGAUUUUGAGUUCAUCUUCAUCAUUCAUAUGAGGGAACCAGUG
RNAcentral lists this long non-coding RNA (318 nucleotides) under Canis lupus familiaris (dog). RNAcentral's name for it is "lncRNA (ENSCAFG00000055751.1, ENSCAFG00845004961.1)". The record is from RNAcentral. Lineage: Eukaryota; Metazoa; Chordata; Mammalia; Carnivora; Canidae.